AUUGAACGCUGGCGGCAUGCCUUACACAUGCAAGUCGAACGGCAGCACGGGUGCUUGCCCCUGGUGGCGAGUGGCGAACGGGUGAGUAAUACAUCGGAACAUGUCCUGUAGUGGGGGAUAGCCCGGCGAAAGCCGGAUUAAUACCGCAUACGAUCUACGGAUGAAAGCGGGGGACCUUCGGGCCUCGCGCUAUAGGGUUGGCCGAUGGCUGAUUAGCUAGUUGGUGGGGUAAAGGCCUACCAAGGCGACGAUCAGUAGCUGGUCUGAGAGGACGACCAGCCACACUGGGACUGAGACACGGCCCAGACUCCUACGGGAGGCAGCAGUGGGGAAUUUUGGCCACUGGGCGAACGCCUGCUCCCGCCCUGCCGCGUGUGUGAAGAAGGCCUUCGGGUUGUAAAGCACUUUUGUCCGGAAAGAAAUCCUUGGCCCUAAUACGGUCGGGGGAUGACGGUACCGGCAGAAUAAGCACCGGCUCACUACGUG
RNAcentral lists this ribosomal RNA (486 nucleotides) under uncultured bacterium. RNAcentral's name for it is "partial 16S ribosomal RNA". It matches the Rfam family "Bacterial small subunit ribosomal RNA", at positions 30 to 507 of the family's 1533-position model. The record is from RNAcentral.